RNAcentral lists this transfer RNA (67 nucleotides) under Marmota monax (woodchuck). RNAcentral's name for it is "tRNA.Met". Lineage: Eukaryota; Metazoa; Chordata; Mammalia; Rodentia; Sciuridae. The record is from RNAcentral.
GGUUGUAGCUCAGUGGUAAAGCACUUGCCUCAUAUGUGUGAGGCACUGUGUUUGAUCCUCAGCACCA